GAGUGCCCCGAGCGUUAUCCGGAAUUAUUGGGCGUAAAGGGUGUGUAGGUGGUUUUGUUAGUCUUUUGUUAAAGACCUGGGCUCAACCCGGGGAGUGCAAAGGAAACGGCAAAACUAGAGAGUGUGAGGGGUGAAUGGAACUCAUAGUGUAGGGGUGAAAUCCGUUGAUAUUAUGGGGAACACCAAAAGCGAAGGCAAUUCACUGGCGCAUUUCUGACACUGAAACACGAAAGCGUGGGUAGCGAAUGGGAUUAGAUACCCCAGUAGUCCACGCCCUAAACGAUGUUCUCUAGCUUUUUGGAGUAUCGACCCUCUAAGAGGCGAASSUAACGCGUUAAGAGAACCGCCUGGGUAGUACGGCCGCAAGGCUA
This 371-nucleotide ribosomal RNA is filed under the name uncultured bacterium. RNAcentral describes it as "bacterial SSU rRNA". It matches the Rfam family "Bacterial small subunit ribosomal RNA", at positions 527 to 896 of the family's 1533-position model. The record is from RNAcentral.